Long non-coding RNA from Aphidius gifuensis, 1014 nucleotides. RefSeq lists it as uncharacterized. The record is from RefSeq and is a predicted model, not a curated record. The transcript is spliced from 3 exons. NCBI's taxonomy places the organism in Eukaryota, Metazoa, Arthropoda, Insecta, Hymenoptera, Braconidae.
UGAAGAAAAAAAUAUUUAUAUACAUGUAUGUAUAUAUGAAAAGUUAUAAAGUUGGAUGAAGAAAAAACACCUGAGAGAUGGAGUAGUGUGAUGAGGUGAGGUAGAAAGAAAAAAUGAGUAAAAUAAAAAAAUAAAAAAUAAACAAGUGAAAGAGUCAGGUAGAAAAGUGUUUGGUAUAGAAGGCAAUAAAGACAAACGAUAAAAAAAAAUUCUAUCCUAGUAGUAGGCUGUAUAUGAGUGAGCAAGAAUAUAAAAAUAGAAACAGUUUAGUGCAAAAGCAAGUGAGGAAAGAAGAUGCAAUGAUUUACCAUAUAAUGGUACCCUGAGGGCGCAUAAGCUUCGCCACGACGCAAUUUCUUACUUCGUCCCUUCCAGUAUACCGCAUUCAAACGAAGGAGAACGUGUCUGCUGUGUCAAUUGAACAACUCGAUUAACGUAUACUAUAACUCGUUGACUUGUGGAUCUUUUGAAAAUGUUAUAAAGGUCAACUUAGAAUAAUCAUCAAUCCAAAAAAAAAACCAGUAAUAAACAUGUCAUUAAUGAUCAAAUAAUUAUCUAAGGAAAACACUAUCAAUUGCUGCAAUUUGUAUGAUCAUUAUAUGAAUUGAAGACUGCGGAAGCUUGGUAGACAUCUAUCCAAAGGUUCCUUUUGCCAACAAUUAUCUGAGUUACAAGGAGAGAAUUCAUGGUAUUUGUUGAUCUGUCAUAGACACUCGACCAUAAAUAUUAUACAAAAGCAAGAUGGGUAUAUAGUUUGUACUUAAUGUUUGUUUCUCUUAUACGAUGAAGAAUCAUCACCCACGCAUCGUAGAUCUUCUUCUUGAUGCUGCUGCUUCUUGCAUUACGUCAGGUAAUAUCAAACAAAAGAGAGAAUCAGAGAGUUUAACUGAAGGGAAAAUAAUAUAUAUAUAUACAAUAUAAAGUGGCUCGCGCCACAACGACGCUUUUGCCCCAAGGUUACUUCGUGUCACGGGCACAGCUGGGCACUAAGAGUUCGCUGACUCCAACGAAUUU